Molecule: long non-coding RNA, 2099 nt
Organism: Lotus japonicus
Lineage: Eukaryota; Viridiplantae; Streptophyta; Magnoliopsida; Fabales; Fabaceae
Exons: 3
Source: RefSeq, a predicted model, not a curated record
GUCUUUUGUCAAAAAUUGAUGGAUAGCUUGAUGAGUGCUUAGUAAGAUAAUUCUCCCAGAUUUAGCAGCUUAAAUAUUUUUCUUGUAUCUAUUCUAAGGCUGCAGAUGCAGAAUUUUCAAGUCACAAUUUUUUUUAACAUGACAUGUACUGGUUUGAAUGUUCUGUGAUAGAGGGUUACUUGCUUUCAAUUUUCCACAAGUGCAUCUCUACUGACAAAAUCAACAAAGCCUCCACAGCUUAAGAUGGCUGUUGACUGUGAAGAUGAUGUGAUAAGAAUGAGAGCUGAGUGGUUACACAGAACUUAUGGGAGAAAUUUUCCUUCAGCUCAUGAGGUUCAUGUAGAAAACGCCAGGCUCGGCCACCAGAAAUAAAACAUUGACUCAUUCUUCCUGAACUUGAAGAGACUUCCUUUGGUAGGCGUAAUUAUAUUACCAAGAAAGUAUAUCAUGGGGCAGGUAGAUGAAAGAGCAUUCAAAACGUUGGUUAUUCUGAUAUCUGCGGCUUUAUGUAUUUUAGUCAUCGGAUGUGUUUGCAUUUUGAUAUUGACAAACGGAGUGUCAAAGGAAAUGAAUCUAAGCAGAAUUGAUCAGACAACUGGAAGCAAGAAGGAAGGUAGAGGCAUCAUGCAACUACAAAAGUCAAUUCCUUGCCAACAUGAGUCAUGAACUAAGGACACCUAUGGAAGCAGUAAUUGGGUUGUUUGACAUCCGUAUAUCUGAUGAUUGUCUCACAAAUGAACAAUAUUCAACAGUUACCCAAAUAAGAAAAUGCUCAACCGCCUUGCUCCGUCUUCUUAACAAUAUUUUGGAUCUGAGCAAGUUGAGAUUACGCUAAGUUUUUUGUUCAAGAAUAUUAGAAAACAAAUUCUAAGUUUCUUUUCCACUGUUAUAAUACUGCAUUUCUGCCAAAAAGCCUCCUAAUGUUUAUAGAAUUUAGGUGGAAUCCGGAAAAUUGGUCCUUUGCAGAAUUUGACUUGGGGCGGGAACUUGAAGGGAUGGUAGAUAUGUUCUCUGUGCAAUGCAUUAACCACAAUAUAGCGAUUUUAAUUUCGCUGAGAAGUGAAUGGUUAGAAGUUCUUUUAACAACUUUCUAAUGCAUGACCUCUAUCUACGUAUGCAUUUUAUACAAUUCUCUAUAGCUGUAUCUUAGUCUUUUUAUCAUCUAAUAUCAUCAUUUUGCUUUGUUGUUUCAUUUCCAGAGUGUAGCAAAGUGUAUAUGCACUUCUAUGAGCAAGUGAUUUAACUAUUUCAUGGCACAAGAAAUUUGGACCCCCGUAAAAUUGCAAUUAGAUUCAGGAGUUGUCGGCAAGGAAUGCUUCAAAUUUAGGCUAGGAAUAGGAUCGUGAUUUUCACCUUGGCAAUACAUAUAGGCAAGCUAAAUCAUUUGCUGAUUUCAUAAGAACUAAGAAAAGAUGGGAAGUAAAAGCAGUGAGGGAGAUUUUGGAGAGGGAGUCUUCAUAAGUAAGGAAUGAUGCAGGAAUGUAGAAGGAAUAAAACUAAACCAAAGCAUCGAGAUUUCUCAUACUACCUAUUUUUGCUUUCAAUCUAUUAACACCAGUAUUUAUGACUUGGCUAAAUGAAAACUAACUGUUUAUGUAGGGACUAUUCCAAGGCAAAACAAAAAGUUUUGAUGUGGAAAAAGCUCUUUUGGGAAAAUCUGUACAUGGUUUUGAAGAAGCAAUAUCCAUGGUAUCUUAUGGCUUUGGGGAUAUAGAAGAUCUUUAUACAAAAUCCAGCACAAGAAAUAUAAUCUUAAAUUGUAGAUCCAAUUUUAGCAUGAGUUAGUUUUGAUGCAACUGGUAGGGGAUCUUAAUUGGUUUAUCAUGUAAUUGACAUUUUGGGUUUUCACAGAGUUAAUCAUCUAGGGUAUAAUUGCUUAUAUAGUUUUAUUGCUAGAUUGUCUUGAAUAGCUAUUCUUAAUUGAAAUUUGAAAGAUUUUUGUGUUAACGCAUAAUUCUAGCUUAUAACUAAAUGAAAUGCCUUGAGCAGUACUACUUAUUGGCAUAACAUGUCAUAUAUGUCCCACUCUUAUGAUUUCUUAGAGUUUUUCAUUAUCCUGUUUGACUUUCAUGACAUCAUGAAUAUCAAUGCACAUCAAA